This 316-nucleotide ribosomal RNA is filed under the name uncultured bacterium. RNAcentral describes it as "bacterial SSU rRNA". It matches the Rfam family "Bacterial small subunit ribosomal RNA", at positions 355 to 661 of the family's 1533-position model. The record is from RNAcentral.
UGCGGAAUUUUAGAUAAUGGCGGGAACUCUGAUCUAGCGACGCCGCGUUCAGGAAGAAGGUCUUCGGAUUGUAAACUGCUGUGGUAAGGGAAAAAUGCUAUGUAGAGUGGAAAGCUACAUAGAGGGAUGUUACCUUACUAGAAAGCCCCGGCUAACUACGUGCCAGCAGCCGCGGUAAUACGUAUGGGGCGAGCGUUACCCUGAAUCACUGUGCGUAAAGGGAGAGUAGGUGGACUAACAUGUCAACUGUUAAAACCCGGAGCUAAAAACAGGAAUUGAAGUUGAAACUGGUAGGAUGGAGGACGGUAGAGGAAGA